Molecule: microRNA precursor, 84 nt
Filed under: Bombyx mori (domestic silkworm)
Lineage: Eukaryota; Metazoa; Arthropoda; Insecta; Lepidoptera; Bombycidae
Description: mir-2807 microRNA precursor family
Rfam family: mir-2807 microRNA precursor family
Source: Rfam by way of RNAcentral
UUAGCUCAUAUUUGUAUGGAACGGGAUCGUUUGCGUACGUUUGCCGCUAGGGGUGCUGUUCCAACUGCAUACAAAAUUGGGGUA